Molecule: long non-coding RNA, 562 nt
Organism: Mya arenaria
Lineage: Eukaryota; Metazoa; Mollusca; Bivalvia; Myida; Myidae
Exons: 4
Source: RefSeq, a predicted model, not a curated record
GUGAAAGUUGUCCUCAAAAUUUACUCAGAUUAAAAAAAAGAAAACAGAAUACGUGUUUUUAUAAACAUAGGAGUUAAUCGGAUUUACUUUAUUUAUUUUAUAAUGAGGGUCUGAUGUAUUCUGAAGGGGCUACAAAGAGAAAUAGCAUUUACUGAAAUGGGAGCGGGUGACAUAAAGUUAUGUCCUGUCUGAGAUUUGGUCUGUGGAAGACCAAAUGGAGGCAGCACACAUCCUUUGUGGAUUGAUGACCUUGGCAAACUGAUUAAAUUCUUUGACUGGUUGGGGUACACCAAGAUACCCCUGAAGUCCAUUCCAAACUUGAGGAAAUAUCACCACUUCAGAACUUCAGCUGACAACCCAGUGAGUGAAUUCAUGAGAGAGCAUGCCAAGGACAGUGAGAUUGAUGUUAAAAUUAACAACCCCACAACAAUGGCUUUUCCAUGGAGAGUACCCCGAACGCAUCCAACUAAAAGGACUUGAUGCAAAAAGGCUCUGAUCCCUUAAAUAAGUGAAAACAUUUUUUUCAGUAUACUGAUAUGUGAUCUUUAUAAACUAAAUCUAA